AUUCUACACUGCUUAACUAAGUGGACAAUGGAAUGUCCAUCCACUCAUGAAAAGUCUGAAGCUUCAUAAAAAGAUUGGUAUCCUGAUCUGCAUGUGGCAGACUGAUGGAGUCUACAUAGAUAGGACCAAGAAUUUUCUCAGAAAUGCAAACCAAUAGGCAACCCUGGGCUCAGCAUUGUACACCCGUAGGGCAAAGCAGGCAGCAUUGCAGUCUGGGCACUCUCUCAAAGCAGGCGUUUCCAGUGAGACUGCGCAUAGAAUUCUAUGUUCUGAAAACUGCCAUGGCAGUCACGCUGUGCUUCUGGAUUUGAUGGCUUAUUAUCUGGUAGUCAAGGUCUUUCUCUUUGCUGCCAUUUAGCAGUUUGGAUCAGCCUGGGAGCUGGGAGCUCUGACAGCUCCCUCCUAAACCGCAACUGUGGCUCCUAUCAGCCGUGGACUGGAGGCCCUGUAUAUGGAGGAAGUCCUUUUCCAGUGGGAGAAGAAGAGGCCAGCCUUCAGCAGGAAAACAGAGCUCAAAGAUAAAGAGAAGGAAAGACAGUCCCAGUGACAUUGGUUGAACCCCCGGCUCUAGCUCUGCCUGAACCCACAAAUAUCCUUUCUGUUUAAGCUAGUUUGAAUUUUUUUUGUCACUUCCAAAUGGAUAAGUCCUGACAUAAUAAUAUGCUUAAAUAUUAGAAUGAAGUAAUACAUUUUAAUUAUGAAAAAUAGAGACAAGUAAAAAGAAAAACCCCAAAU
Molecule: non-coding RNA, 735 nt
Organism: Macaca mulatta (Rhesus monkey)
Lineage: Eukaryota; Metazoa; Chordata; Mammalia; Primates; Cercopithecidae
Source: RefSeq, a predicted model, not a curated record